GCGGGUAAGAUCGAGGUGAUCCGCCAGCCUUCCAAGCUGCGCAGUUAGGGUUCGAAUCCCUAUAUCCGCUCCA
This 73-nucleotide transfer RNA is filed under the name compost metagenome. RNAcentral describes it as "tRNA-Gly". It matches the Rfam family "tRNA". From Rfam's summary of the family: Transfer RNA (tRNA) molecules are approximately 80 nucleotides in length. Their secondary structure includes four short double-helical elements and three loops (D, anti-codon, and T loops). The record is from RNAcentral.